Pezoporus occidentalis (night parrot) is the source of this 1997-nucleotide long non-coding RNA. RefSeq lists it as uncharacterized. The transcript has 2 exons. The record is from RefSeq and is a predicted model, not a curated record. Lineage: Eukaryota; Metazoa; Chordata; Aves; Psittaciformes; Psittacidae.
CGCGUGUGUGCGGCUUGGUGCGGGGCUCACGGCGGAGCCGUUCCCAGACCUCUGCCCCAGCCUUGAAGCCGGGGCACAGGCAUCAGCUGUGUCUGAAGUUUAAACUCAUCCCUCUGUCCUCCCUCCACGAGCCAUCCUGAAUACAGGAUGAACCAGUAUGUCACAACAACAAGGUGGGUACAGCUUAUUACCCGAUUCUUCAGCCAUGGACACUGAGUCUGUGGGCAGAGAGCAACUGAGGAACACAAUUUCACUGCUGCACAGAUUGAGUCCCUAAAGUCAACCAUAAGCUGAUGUUAUUGUAAGCAUUAAACACAUUCCAUUAUAUACAAAAACUUCUUUGAGCUUCAGUUCAUUUUAAGGUAACUGAUUUUCCAAAAUUGAUGACUUCCUAUGCUGGUUUAGAGGAGUAGAAGUCAUGCAAAAUGUAACUGUACAAACCUUUUGCUCUGGGAAGGCCAGUAAGGACGAGAGAGGCAGGAAUUUUCUUGUCAGUAACUGGAUGCAGGAGCGAUGCGUCAUCACUUUGUAAAGAUGGCAUAUCACAGUCUAGCACUUGAUUGUAUAUUCCUAAUUUAACUGAACUUUUAUCUUCUCAGAGUCCAGCUACAAUCCAGACUAAAUUACCUUAUAAUGUUUUGAAAAGACAUGUGAAAAUAUAUCAUUUAUAGUGUGUGAAAAUAGCCAUGAGUAAAAAGGAAAAAAUCUAUUGAGAAUUGAUUCAGGUACUUAUUUUAAGAGGGAAUAAAUUUUAAGUAUGUGUAUAUAAUAAUCUCAGAUGCAUCUAUGAAGUAAUUAAUUAGUAGGCAUUUUAUACCAUCUGACAGUGAUUGUAGCACUGUGAUUGGAUUGUUUCUAGACAGGAAAUAGAAAUCUUAUUAAUUGCCAAGCCUAAGGUGAAGUGCAGGUCUCAACGUAUUCUAAUGUUUUACCCCAACUACAUGAAAAAUACUUAUGCUGAUUUUUUUUUUUCUGGUCCACUGCCACUCCAUCCUGAAACUAUGUUGUUCACCUUUCUUCAGUACAAGACACACAAACUGUUCUUUGAAGGAAAGGACAGUCACCUUUUGUAUAACCACCUGGACACACCAUUGCUGCCUGCAUUUCACCCAACCUCUACUCCAGCAUUAAUACCCAGUCAGUUAUUUCUCCAGCUGUUCCACAAAUGCCUUCUAUUUCCUUAAUAAAUGUGUUUCUGCACUGCACCUCCCAUCCUCAACAGCCACAUUCCUCUGCAAGUGAUUCCUGUCUACUGUAGUUCUGAUGGCAAAUUCCUUGCUCAGAGGAGUUGGGCAAAUCUCUGGCAAGGGUUAUUGAUACUCAAAAAAUAAAGAUCUUAAGUGGGAACAUGAUGAAUACAAUCUAUGUAUCCAUUCCUAUUGCUUUUAUUCUUGUCCUUCUUUUUCUACUCUUUCAUUUCUUACAGCCACUUACUGAAUCUGGUCUAAAUUUAGGCCUCUGUCCUAUCAACUAACCCAGUCCCUCUUGGCCCCUGUGCCCACAUGAAAUGCUGGUGAAAGCUGCACCUGAGCAGAGGAUUUUAUCCUCCAGGUGAGGUGGUAGAUUAGUAGGCAAAGGAGAUCCCUUAAUGUGUGCUCUGGAGGUCAACGGAGCUGUGAGACUGGCUGCAGCCUCCUGGCAUUCUCUCCACAUUAGUCAUUGUAAUGAGAGAUGAAGUUAAAGAGCUGCUAUCAUCUUUAAAAUGCCAUUGAAGAAAUGAGCUUCAUUUUGUGAGGCUGGCCUGCUCCCGAACCUCCCUGAAAUAUAAAAAUAAAUCUAACUCAGGCUGUUUAUUUUUAAAACGCUCUCAAGCCUGUGUUCCUCUGCAUGUGUGGCAAGCUGAGCCUUCAGGAACGAGAGCGAGUCCUGGGUCUGCACUGUGUUUCUGCCCUCAAGGUGAGAUAUCCUAGCCAUGUUGAAACCGGGGAGGCCCACCCUGCCCUGUUGGUGGGAUUCCCCUGUCUUCAGCAGGGCCUUAUGGCUACUGCAGGGAAAAC